This 66-nucleotide microRNA precursor is filed under the name Marmota monax (woodchuck). The record is from RNAcentral. Lineage: Eukaryota; Metazoa; Chordata; Mammalia; Rodentia; Sciuridae.
UUUUAUGAAUGAGCAAAUAAGGUGAUUUCUUGAAAUGGACUCUACUCUUGGUAAAGAUGUUGUGAA